UGGGGAAUCUUGGACAAUGGGCGCAAGCCUGAUCCAGCAAUGCCGCGUGAGUGAUGAAGGCCUUAGGGUUGUAAAGCUCUUUUACCAAGGAUGAUAAUGACAGUACCUGGAGAAUAAGCUCCGGCUAACUCCGUGCCAGCAGCCGCGGUAAUACGGAGGGAGCUAGCGUUGUUCGGAAUUACUGGGCGUAAAGCGUACGUAGGCGGUGACUCAAGUCAGAGGUGAAAGCCUGGAGCUCAACUCCAGAACUGCCUUUGAAGCUAGGUCGCUAGAAUCACGGAGAGGUGAGUGGAAUUCCGAGUGUAGAGGUGAAAUUCGUAGAUAUUCGGAAGAACACCAGUGGCGAAGGCGGCUCACUGGACGUGUAUUGACGCUGAGGUACGAAAGCGUGGGGAGCAAACAGGAUUAGAUACCCCAGUAGUCCCUGAGCGGGCUGGCAAGGCGCAU
This 447-nucleotide ribosomal RNA is filed under the name uncultured bacterium. Its description in RNAcentral is "bacterial SSU rRNA". It matches the Rfam family "Bacterial small subunit ribosomal RNA", at positions 355 to 825 of the family's 1533-position model. The record is from RNAcentral.